Molecule: long non-coding RNA, 334 nt
Organism: Cucumis melo (muskmelon)
Lineage: Eukaryota; Viridiplantae; Streptophyta; Magnoliopsida; Cucurbitales; Cucurbitaceae
Exons: 2
Source: RefSeq, a predicted model, not a curated record
AUAGAGUGAAGCGGUCGAUUAAGGUGCCCACGAUUAGUAACAAGCUAGCAGAUAUGAUGAUUAUUCAUGGAGGAAAUAUGGCCAAAAGCCAAUCAAAGGUUCUCCACACCCAAGAUAAUUGAAGUCAUAUCGGGUUGAAAGCUAAGCGAUUGUGCAGAGAUUGCCAAGCGACCGUUGAAAAUUGAAGACUGAGAAGGCAUUUAGGAUUUUUAAUUAUUUAAUUCUUGUAUUAGAAUCUUUUUUCAUGUACUAUUGUAGAAUGUAUAUACAUAAUAUUAAGAUUUUAUUUUGUGUAUUCAAAUGUAAAAGACAAAUAUUAUAGUUUCUAACAUAA